This 255-nucleotide ribosomal RNA is filed under the name uncultured Gardnerella sp. Its description in RNAcentral is "partial 16S ribosomal RNA". It matches the Rfam family "Bacterial small subunit ribosomal RNA", at positions 99 to 355 of the family's 1533-position model. The record is from RNAcentral. Lineage: Bacteria; Bacillati; Actinomycetota; Actinomycetes; Bifidobacteriales; Bifidobacteriaceae.
CGAACGGGUGAGUAAUGCGUGACCAACCUGCCCCAUGCUCCAGAAUAGCUCUUGGAAACGGGUGGUAAUGCUGGAUGCUCCAACUUGACGCAUGUCUUGUUGGGAAAGUGUUUAGUGGCAUGGGAUGGGGUCGCGUCCUAUCAGCUUGUAGGCGGGGUAAUGGCCCACCUAGGCUUCGACGGGUAGCCGGCCUGAGAGGGCGGACGGCACAUUGGGACUGAGAUACGGCCCAGACUCCUACGGGAGGCAGCAGUU